GAGAGCUUGCUCUCUGAUUUUAGCGGCGGACGGGUGAGUAACACGUGGGCAACCUGCCCUACAGAUGGGGAUAACUCCGGGAAACCGGGGCUAAUACCGAAUAAUCAGUUUGUCCGCAUGGACAAACUCUGAAAGACGGUUUCGGCUGUCACUGUAGGAUGGGCCCGCGGCGCAUUAGCUAGUUGGUGGGGUAAUGGCCUACCAAGGCAACGAUGCGUAGCCGACCUGAGAGGGUGAUCGGCCACACUGGGACUGAGACACGGCCCAGACUCCUACGGGAGGCAGCGGUAGGGAAUCUUCCACAAUGGACGAAAGUCUGAUGGAGCAAUGCCGCGUGAGCGAAGAAGGUUUUCGGAUCGUAAAGCUCUGUUGUAAGGGAAGAACACGUACGGGAGUAACUGCCCGUGCCAUGACGGUACCUUAUUAGAAAGCCACGGCUAACUACGUGCCAGCAGCCGCGGUAAUACGUAGGUGGCAAGCGUUGUCCGGAAUUAUUGGGCGUAAAGCGCGCGCAGGCGGUUCUUUAAGUCUGAUGUGAAAGCCCACGGCUCAACCGUGGAGGGUCAUUGGAAACUGGAGAACUUGAGUACAGAAGAGGAAAGCGGAAUUCCACGUGUAGCGGUGAAAUGCGUAGAGAUGUGGAGGAACACCAGUGGCGAA
RNAcentral lists this ribosomal RNA (660 nucleotides) under uncultured bacterium. RNAcentral describes it as "bacterial SSU rRNA". It matches the Rfam family "Bacterial small subunit ribosomal RNA", at positions 74 to 719 of the family's 1533-position model. The record is from RNAcentral.